AUGGAUGGCAAAAUUAGUAUCAGAUACAAGGUUGACCUGGAGCGCAUGCUGCUUAAUGGAAGUGCACAGCCAACACACAUGCAGUUAUCGCUUUUAGAAGAUAUCACAGACUGUUUCUCCGAUGAUCAGCAAAUUGGUAGCGGUGGGUUUGCGGUGGUUUAUAAGGGAAUAGUGGGAAAACGAAUGGUUGCUAUGAAGAAGUUGUCCCAAACACUUGAUAUGCAUGAGAAUAAAUUUCACAAAGAGGUUGAGUGCUUGAUGAAGGCCAAGCACAAGAAUAUAGUGCGGUUCCUAGGAUAUUGUUCUGACACGCAAGGGAGGAUUGCGGAUUAUGAGGGUAAGUUUGUGAUGGCAGAUCUGCGGAACUGGUUACUAUGUUUCGAGUAUGUACCAAAUGAAAGUCUCGAUAAGUAUAUUACAGAUGCAUCUGGUGGUCUUGAAUGGGGUGAGCGCUACCAGAUAAUCAAGGGAAUAUGUGAAGGAAAUUGCACUGAAAGGAGAUUUGGGACUUCUUGA
This 516-nucleotide ribosomal RNA is filed under the name Triticum aestivum (bread wheat). RNAcentral's name for it is "partial small subunit ribosomal RNA". The record is from RNAcentral. Lineage: Eukaryota; Viridiplantae; Streptophyta; Magnoliopsida; Poales; Poaceae.